Molecule: ribosomal RNA, 637 nt
Filed under: uncultured bacterium
Lineage: Bacteria
Description: bacterial SSU rRNA
Rfam family: Bacterial small subunit ribosomal RNA
Source: RNAcentral
UAAAGAUUCAUCGCUGAUAGAUAGGCAUGCGUUCCAUUAGGCAGUUGGCGGGGUAACGGCCCACCAAACCGACGAUGGAUAGGGGUUCUGAGAGGAAGGUCCCCCACAUUGGUACUGAGACACGGACCAAACUCCUACGGGAGGCAGCAGUGAGGAAUAUUGGUCAAUGGGCGUAAGCCUGAACCAGCCAAAUCGCGUGAGGGAUGAAGGUUCUAUGGAUCGUAAACCUCUUUUAUAAGGGAAUAAAGUGUGGGACGUGUCCUAUUUUGUAUGUACCUUAUGAAUAAGGAUCGGCUAACUCCGUGCCAGCAGCCGCGGUAAUACGGAGGAUCCGAGCGUUAUCCGGAUUUAUUGGGUUUAAAGGGUGCGUAGGCGGCCUUUUAAGUCAGCGGUGAAAGUCUGUGGCUCAACCAUAGAAUUGCCGUUGAAACUGGGGGGCUUGAGUAUGUUUGAGGCAGGCGGAAUGCGUGGUGUAGCGGUGAAAUGCUUAGAUAUCACGCAGAACCCCGAUUGCGAAGGCAGCCUGCCAAGCCAUGACUGACGCUGAUGCACGAAAGCGUGGGGAUCAAACAGGAUUAGAUACCCUGGUAGUCCACGCAGUAAACGAUGAUCACUAGCUGUUUGCGAUACAGUGUAA